RNAcentral lists this transfer RNA (66 nucleotides) under Fukomys damarensis (Damara mole-rat). It matches the Rfam family "tRNA". Rfam says of the family: Transfer RNA (tRNA) molecules are approximately 80 nucleotides in length. Their secondary structure includes four short double-helical elements and three loops (D, anti-codon, and T loops). Further hydrogen bonds mediate the characteristic L-shaped molecular structure. tRNAs have two regions of fundamental functional importance: the anti-codon, which is responsible for specific mRNA codon recognition, and the 3' end, to which the tRNAs corresponding amino acid is attached (by aminoacyl-tRNA synthetases). tRNAs cope with the degeneracy of the genetic code in two manners: having more than one tRNA (with a specific anti-codon) for a particular amino acid; and 'wobble' base-pairing, i.e. permitting non-standard base-pairing at the 3rd anti-codon position. The record is from Rfam by way of RNAcentral. Lineage: Eukaryota; Metazoa; Chordata; Mammalia; Rodentia; Bathyergidae.
GGCAGCUCAGUGGUAGAGUGUGUGUUUAAAUGUACAAGGCCUUGGGUUCAAUCCCCAACAAUGCCU